ACGCUGGCGGUAGGCCUAACACAUGCAAGUCGAACGGCAGCACAGUAAGAGCUUGCUCUUAUGGGUGGCGAGUGGCGGACGGGUGAGGAAUACAUCGGAAUCUACCUUUUCGUGGGGGAUAACGUAGGGAAACUUACGCUAAUACCGCAUACGACCUUCGGGUGAAAGCAGGGGACCUUCGGGCCUUGCGCGGAUAGAUGAGCCGAUGUCGGAUUAGCUAGUUGGCGGGGUAAAGGCCCACCAAGGCGACGAUCCGUAGCUGGUCUGAGAGGAUGAUCAGCCACACUGGAACUGAGACACGGUCCAGACUCCUACGGGAGGCAGCAGUGGGGAAUAUUGGACAAUGGGCGCAAGCCUGAUCCAGCCAUACCGCGUGGGUGAAGAAGGCCUUCGGGUUGUAAAGCCCUUUUGUUGGGAAAGAAAAGCAGUCGAUUAAUACUCGGUUGUUCUGACGGUACCCAAAGAAUAAGCACCGGCUAACUUCGUGCCAGCAGCCGCGGUAAUACGAAGGGUGCAAGCGUUACUCGGAAUUACUGGGCGUAAAGCGUGCGUAGGUGGUUGUUUAAGUCUGUUGUGAAAGCCCUUGGCUCAACCUGGGAAUUGCAGUGGAUACUGGGCGACUAGAGUGUGGUAGAGGGUAGUGGAAUUCCCGGUGUAGCAGUGAAAUGCGUAGAGAUCGGGAGGAACAUCCAUGGCGAAGGCAGCUGCCUGGACCAACACUGACACUGAGGCACGAAAGCGUGGGGAGCAAAC
Molecule: ribosomal RNA, 753 nt
Filed under: uncultured bacterium
Lineage: Bacteria
Description: bacterial SSU rRNA
Rfam family: Bacterial small subunit ribosomal RNA
Source: RNAcentral